GGCUAGUAUGAACGGAACCACGAAAUUCUCCCUGCCUCAUUUUAACUCCAAAAACCUAAACUUCAGGUGAAGAUGCCUGACUAGCCCUGUAAGACAAGAAGACCCUAUAGAGUUUUAGUAACAACUCAUCAUUUAUGAGGAAACUUUGGUUGGGGCGACCUAGGAUCAAUCAAACCAUCCUCAAAAAUAAAGAAUAUAGUUCAACCCUUAGACCCAUAAUAAUGAUUCGGAAACUAAACUACCUUAGGGAUAACAGGCUUAUCUUCCUAACGAGUUCAAAUUACCAGGAAGGUUUGGCACCUCGAUGUUGGCUUAGAGUAACUUAUUGAUGCAGAAAU
Molecule: ribosomal RNA, 338 nt
Filed under: Polynoidae sp. 696 PB
Lineage: Eukaryota; Metazoa; Annelida; Polychaeta; Phyllodocida; Polynoidae
Description: partial 16S ribosomal RNA
Rfam family: Bacterial large subunit ribosomal RNA
Source: RNAcentral